AGAGUUUGGAUCAUGGCUCAGGAUGAACGCUAGCGGCAGGCUUAAUACAUGCAAGUCGAGGGGCAGCACGGGUAGCAAUACCUGGUGGCGACCGGCAAACGGGUGCGGAACACGUACAGAACCUUCCUUUAAGCGGGGGAUAGCCCAGGGAAACCUGGAUUAAUACCCCAUAGCAUUGUGGUGUGGCAUCAUACUAUAAUUAAAGAUUUAUCACUUAAAGAUGGCUGUGCGUAUGAUUAGGUAGUUGGCGGGGUAACGGCCCACCAAGCCUUCGAUCAUUAACUGGUGUGAGAGCACGACCAGUCACACGGGCACUGAGACACGGGCCCGACUCCUACGGGAGGCAGCAGUAAGGAAUAUUGGUCAAUGGACGCAAGUCUGAACCNAGCCAUGCCGCGUGUAGGAUGAAGGUCCUCUGGGAUUGUAAACUUUUCUUUUUNUCCUGGGGACG
Molecule: ribosomal RNA, 451 nt
Filed under: uncultured Bacteroidota bacterium
Lineage: Bacteria; Pseudomonadati; Bacteroidota
Description: bacterial SSU rRNA
Rfam family: Bacterial small subunit ribosomal RNA
Source: RNAcentral